Molecule: ribosomal RNA, 469 nt
Filed under: uncultured bacterium
Lineage: Bacteria
Description: partial 16S ribosomal RNA
Rfam family: Bacterial small subunit ribosomal RNA
Source: RNAcentral
GAUGAACGCUGGCGGCGUGCUUAACACAUGCAAGUCGAACGGUGAACACGGAGCUUGCUCUGUGGGAUCAGUGGCGAACGGGUGAGUAACACGUGAGCAACCUGCCCCUGACUCUUGGAUAAGCGCUGGAAACGGCGUCUAAUACUGGAUAUGUGACGUGACCGCAUGGUCUGCGUUUGGAAAGAUUUUUCGGUUGGGGAUGGGCUCGCGGCCUAUCAGCUUGUUGGUGAGGUAAUGGCUCACCAAGGCGUCGACGGGUAGCCGGCCUGAGAGGGUGACCGGCCACACUGGGACUGAGACACGGCCCAGACUCCUACGGGAGGCAGCAGUGGGGAAUAUUGCACAAUGGGCGCAAGCCUGAUGCAGCAACGCCGCGUGAGGGAUGACGGCCUUCGGGUUGUAAACCUCUUUUAGCAGGGAAGAAGCGAAAGUGACGGUACCUGCAGAAAAAGCGCCGGCUAACUACGUG